GGGUUGUGAGGUUAAGCGACUAAGCGUACACGGUGGAUGCCCUGGCAGUCAGAGGCGAUGAAGGACGUGCUAAUCUGCGAAAAGCGUCGGUAAGGUGAUAUGAACCGUUAUAACCGGCGAUGUCCGAAUGGGGAAACCCAGUGCAAUUCGUUGCACUAUCGUUAACUGAAUACAUAGGUUAACGAGGCGAACCGGGGGAACUGAAACAUCUAAGUACCCCGAGGAAAAGAAAUCAACCGAGAUUCCCCCAGUAGCGGCGAGCGAACGGGGAGCAGCCCAGAGUCUGAAUCAGCUUGUGUGUUAGUGGAACGGUCUGGAAAGUCCGACGGUACAGGGUGAUAGUCCCGUACACCAAAAUGCACAGGCUGUGAACUCGAAGAGUAGGGCGGGACACGUGGUAUCCUGUCUGAAUAUGGGGGGACCAUCCUCCAAGGCUAAAUACUCCUGACUGACCGAUAGUGAACCAGUACCGUGAGGGAAAGGCGAAAAGAACCCCGGCGAGGGGAGUGAAAAAGAACCUGAAACCGUGUACGUACAAGCAGUGGGAGCACCUUCGGGUGUGACUGCGUACCUUUUGUAUAAUGGGUCAGCGACUUAUAUUCUGUAGCAAGGUUAACCGUAUAGGGGAGCCGCAGGGAAACCGAGUCUUAACUGGGCGUUAAGUUGCAGGGUAUAGACCCGAAACCCGGUGAUCUAGCCAUGGGCAGGUUGAAGGUUGGGUAACACUAACUGGAGGACCGAACCGACUAAUGUUGAAAAAUUAGCGGAUGACUUGUGGCUGGGGGUGAAAGGCCAAUCAAACCGGGAGAUAGCUGGUUCUCCCCGAAAGCUAUUUAGGUAGCGCCUCGUGAAUUCAUCUUCGGGGGUAGAGCACUGUUUCGGCUAGGGGGUCAUCCCGACUUACCAACCCGAUGCAAACUACGAAUACCGAAGAAUGUUAUCACGGGAGACACACGGCGGGUGCUAACGUCCGUCGUGAAGAGGGAAACAACCCAGACCGCCAGCUAAGGUCCCAAAGUCAUGGUUAAGUGGGAAACGAUGUGGGAAGGCACAGACAGCCAGGAUGUUGGCUUAGAAGCAGCCAUCAUUUAAAGAAAGCGUAAUAGCUCACUGGUCGAGUCGGCCUGCGCGGAAGAUGUAACGGGGCUAAACCAUGCACCGAAGCUGCGGCAGCGACACUAUGUGUUGUUGGGUAGGGGAGCGUUCUGUAAGCCUGCGAAGGUGUGCUGUGAGGCAUGCUGGAGGUAUCAGAAGUGCGAAUGCUGACAUAAGUAACGAUAAAGCGGGUGAAAAGCCCGCUCGCCGGAAGACCAAGGGUUCCUGUCCAACGUUAAUCGGGGCAGGGUGAGUCGACCCCUAAGGCGAGGCCGAAAGGCGUAGUCGAUGGGAAACAGGUUAAUAUUCCUGUACUUGGUGUUACUGCGAAGGGGGGACGGAGAAGGCUAUGUUAGCCGGGCGACGGUUGUCCCGGUUUAAGCAUGUAGGCUGAUUGUCCAGGCAAAUCCGGAUAAUCAAGGCUGAGGUGUGAUGACGAGGCACUACGGUGCUGAAGUAACAAAUGCCCUGCUUCCAGGAAAAGCCUCUAAGCAUCAGGUAACAUUAAAUCGUACCCCAAACCGACACAGGUGGUCAGGUAGAGAAUACCAAGGCGCUUGAGAGAACUCGGGUGAAGGAACUAGGCAAAAUGGUGCCGUAACUUCGGGAGAAGGCACGCUGGUGUGUAGGUGAAGUCCCUGCGGAUGGAGCUGAGACCAGUCGAAGAUACCAGCUGGCUGCAACUGUUUAUUAAAAACACAGCACUGUGCAAACACGAAAGUGGACGUAUACGGUGUGACGCCUGCCCGGUGCCGGAAGGUUAAUUGAUGGGGUUAUCCGUAAGGAGAAGCUCUUGAUCGAAGCCCCGGUAAACGGCGGCCGUAACUAUAACGGUCCUAAGGUAGCGAAAUUCCUUGUCGGGUAAGUUCCGACCUGCACGAAUGGCGUAAUGAUGGCCAGGCUGUCUCCACCCGAGACUCAGUGAAAUUGAACUCGCUGUGAAGAUGCAGUGUACCCGCGGCAAGACGGAAAGACCCCGUGAACCUUUACUAUAGCUUGACACUGAACAUUGAGCCUUGAUGUGUAGGAUAGGUGGGAGGCUUUGAAGCGUGGACGCCAGUCUGCGUGGAGCCAACCUUGAAAUACCACCCUUUAAUGUUUGAUGUUCUAACGUUGGCCCCUGACCGGGGUUGCGGACAGUGUCUGGUGGGUAGUUUGACUGGGGCGGUCUCCUCCCAAAGCGUAACGGAGGAGCACGAAGGUUAGCUAAUCCUGGUCGGACAUCAGGAGGUUAGUGCAAUGGCAUAAGCUAGCUUGACUGCGAGCGUGACGGCGCGAGCAGGUGCGAAAGCAGGUCAUAGUGAUCCGGUGGUUCUGAAUGGAAGGGCCAUCGCUCAACGGAUAAAAGGUACUCCGGGGAUAACAGGCUGAUACCGCCCAAGAGUUCAUAUCGACGGCGGUGUUUGGCACCUCGAUGUCGGCUCAUCACAUCCUGGGGCUGAAGUAGGUCCCAAGGGUAUGGCUGUUCGCCAUUUAAAGUGGUACGCGAGCUGGGUUUAGAACGUCGUGAGACAGUUCGGUCCCUAUCUGCCGUGGGCGCUGGAGAAUUGAGGGGGGCUGCUCCUAGUACGAGAGGACCGGAGUGGACGCAUCACUGGUGUUCGGGUUGUCAUGCCAAUGGCACUGCCCGGUAGCUAAAUGCGGAAGAGAUAAGUGCUGAAAGCAUCUAAGCACGAAACUUGCCCCGAGAUGAGUUCUCCCUGAGACUUUAAGUCUCCUGAAGGAACGUUAAAGACGAUGACGUUGAUAGGCCGGGUGUGUAAGCGCAGCGAUGCGUUGAGCUAACCGGUACUAAUGAACCGUGAGGCUUAACCUUACAACGCCGAAG
RNAcentral lists this ribosomal RNA (2923 nucleotides) under Klebsiella pneumoniae. RNAcentral's name for it is "bacterial LSU rRNA". It matches the Rfam family "Bacterial large subunit ribosomal RNA". Lineage: Bacteria; Pseudomonadati; Pseudomonadota; Gammaproteobacteria; Enterobacterales; Enterobacteriaceae. The record is from RNAcentral. RNAcentral also lists the same sequence under 1 other name.